AAAAGUCAAUCGCAGUAACAGGAAGUAGUUUACACGAUGAAGAGUAAUACUGGCCAUUCAUUGGUGGGGAAGAUCUGAGACGCGCAGAGACAGAGAGACAGGAAGUAGAGUGUGCGUGCGGUGUAUAACACUUGGCUGACAGCGAAAAAAGUCCGCGUAAAGUUUGCGCAAACAAAUACGAGUUGACGUGUGAAGAUUAUCUACUCAACAGUCUUCACCAGGGUAUCCCCUCCACAUAUGGCUCUUCGGUGUUUCUAUCCGACGUUCAUCAUACCGUUGUUCAGGUGUUCGUAUUUAGCUUCAGGUGUGCGUGUGUUAGCUCAUUAGCAUACGCCGUUUAUUUUAUUAGCAUUCAUUAGCAUAGCGAGUGGACACUUAGCCGCCGCAUAGCUUAUCGAGCUGGCGUUGACGGCUUUAUAGUGCAUGUGUUUUCGACGUGGACACCUUGAGGAUUUAAAGAGACUGUGCCGGAGCUGUCCAGCUAACGGGUCAGCGCUCCUCCUCCUUCUGCUUCGCGGGAGAGACCUCGCCAUCUCUGGACAUCCGGUCCGCCGACGCCACCUAGAACUUCGCUCGCGGGAGACCGACAGACCGGUGACGUCAUCUGUUGACAGACACCUGCCGGCCACGUGUUCCUCGACUCAGAACCGAGCUAAGGUUCACCUUCAGACUCCUGUUUACCAUGCACAACCUGCUUCGUCCUUGUCUGCCAUUCAGUUGGAAGCCUCAAUCUCUCAAAGAAUACUGCCUCAACAACCUAUCCACCAACUCCUCUGUUUGAACUCUAUACCUGUUCAGCUCCUGGACCCGGGAUCAGUUUGACCCAUGCCCGCAGUCCUGAUCAGUUCAUGAUAUUGCGAAAAGGUUUACCCAAGAAUGUAUUUUCCCCUUUAGCAAUCUACUGCAAAGAAAUAUUGACAGUGUACAGAACCACAAGGAGUUUUAGAGUCAUGAGCACUGCCCUGACGUUUUAAGGUUUUUAAACUUUUAAGUUUACCUAAAGCAUAACAGAAGUGUAAAAGCAUCAACGGAUAUUUUUACUGUAGACAUGCAUAUUGAGCAUGGCAAGCUGCAUUGUCCUACUGCUCAUACCUCAAAUGGCAUGAAUUCAGUGCUCGCCAACAUCUUCAUUCUAGUCAUUCUUCUAAAUUACUCAAGUAUAGAAGAAAUGCUGAUCAAAAUGGCUUUAUUAUAGCUCACACUGUGUUUGAUUUUCUUUUCACUUAUAUUCGUGCCCUUAAUAUAUCCCUAGAAUACAACUUUUCUAGAAUAUACUUUCAACUGUCAGACAGUGCAUCUUGCUGAAAAUAAAGUCUAAGCCCUUUGUGUUUCUCUGUGGCCUGUCAGAGGCCGCUUGCUUUAGCCUCUCCAUCCCUCUGAGCAAGUAGGGAUCAUUAAUGAAGUGGCCUUCUCAUGGAUAUUGACUAGCCUGUCAGCUGGCCUGCCACACUCACUAAUAGGAGCUAUUGGUCUUGGCUUAAGACCUGACAGAGGAGAGGCUGAAAAAGAAGAAAAUGAGUGAGCGUGUUCCUUCACCUCAAGGUGGGUUUUGGGUUUUAGCCUUCAGCCAGCAAAGUUUGAGUCUGGGCUCAAGAAGACGGGAUACAGCCAAGGAUUUCUCUAUAAAUGUCAAGAAAACUUCCUACUCUAGAAACGAAUGCUAAGUGAGAGGUGGAAAUGCAGUCUUAAAAUGCCAAAAGUGCUUGUAGAAUGCAAGCAAAGCCACAGUGGGUGUUAUAGAAGCACAGCAAGCCAAGGAGAGCUCAUUAAAAUAGAUGUGAUGGUAAAUUGGCACUCCUUAGAGCCGGAGGGUUCUCCAGGACUUUUUUUGUGAAUUCAGGUAAUAAUAUGCGACACAUUCAUAUUAAUAAAUGGCCAUGGUUGAUAUAACAAUGGUUCACUCUAAUCAGUUCCAUUCAGUCCAGUUCUGUGACUCGGCUGAAAAGAACUGAACAUCUUUCAGUACACUUCAUAUGCCAUUACUAGGAAAUGUGCUGUACAGACAGGAAGACAUGUUGGGUGUUGAUUGGAACAAACAGGCAAAUUAUCUCGUUGGCUUCUG
Molecule: long non-coding RNA, 2062 nt
Filed under: Scophthalmus maximus (turbot)
Lineage: Eukaryota; Metazoa; Chordata; Actinopteri; Pleuronectiformes; Scophthalmidae
Description: lncRNA (ENSSMAG00000023815.1)
Source: RNAcentral